GAGUGGGGAAGUUUAUUCUUACUAAGAACGAGCUUAACAAUAACUGAUGAAGGAUGACCUAAUCUACUGUGCCACUUUGCUGAAGAAGGCUUGACAGCAACUAAAGCAUGUUUAUUUGAUGAUGAUGAUGACGAUAUGAUUGGGUAGAGACCUCCCACGCACUUGCCUCUAAGAAGAACCCUCCUCGUGUCCAAGUCCUUAACCAAAAAGAAAUAACGAUAAAAUUCAAUGAGAACACGAUUAUCAAGGGUAAAUCUACGAACAAAAAGAAGUUUUUUUUAUGUUUCGGGCACAUAGAGAAUUCUGUUUAGAUGAAAGUUUUUCACGGGGGUUUUGACAAUUGAACUACCAACAUGAGUAAUAUCCAUACCAGAACCACUUGCAG
This 385-nucleotide long non-coding RNA is filed under the name Triticum aestivum (bread wheat). RNAcentral's name for it is "long non-coding RNA (TAES_LNC001419)". The record is from RNAcentral. Lineage: Eukaryota; Viridiplantae; Streptophyta; Magnoliopsida; Poales; Poaceae.